GUAGGUACAGCUCAAGUGGUAGAGUGCAUGCUUAGCAUGCAUGAGGUCUCAGGUUCAAUCCCCAGUACCUCCU
This 73-nucleotide transfer RNA is filed under the name Camelus bactrianus (Bactrian camel). It matches the Rfam family "tRNA". From Rfam's summary of the family: Transfer RNA (tRNA) molecules are approximately 80 nucleotides in length. Their secondary structure includes four short double-helical elements and three loops (D, anti-codon, and T loops). RNAcentral also lists the same sequence under 2 other names. The record is from Rfam by way of RNAcentral. Lineage: Eukaryota; Metazoa; Chordata; Mammalia; Artiodactyla; Camelidae.